This 468-nucleotide ribosomal RNA is filed under the name uncultured bacterium. RNAcentral describes it as "partial 16S ribosomal RNA". It matches the Rfam family "Bacterial small subunit ribosomal RNA", at positions 28 to 507 of the family's 1533-position model. The record is from RNAcentral.
GACGAACGCCGGCCACGUGCUUAACACAUGCAAGUCGAACGGAAAGGCCCUGCUUUUGUGGGGUGCUCGAGUGGCGAAAGGGUGAGUAACACGUGAGUAACCUGCCCUUGACUUUGGGAUAACUUCAGGAAACUGGGGCUAAUACCGGAUAGGAGCUCCUGCUGCAUGGUGGGGGUUGGAAAGUUUCGGCGGUUGGGGAUGGACUCGCGGCUUAUCAGCUUGUUGGUGGGGUAGUGGCUUACCAAGGCUUUGACGGGUAGCCGGCCUGAGAGGGUGACCGGCCACAUUGGGACUGAGAUACGGCCCAGGCUGCUACGGGCGGCAGCAGUGGGGCAUAUUGUCCAAGGGGCGGAAGCCUGAGGCAGCAGCGCCGCGCGCGGGAUGACGGCUUUCGGGUUGUAAACCGCUUUCGCCUGUGACGAAGCGUGAGUGACGGUAAUGGGUAAAGAAGCACCGGCUAACUACGUG